AGUGGCGGACGGGUGAGUAACGCGUGAGAAUCUGCCUUCAGGAGGGGGACAACAGUUGGAAACGGCUGCUAAUACCCCGUAAGUCUACGGAUAAAACGGUUAAUUCCGCCUGAAGAUGAGCUCGCGUCGGAUUAGCUAGUUGGUGGGGUAAAGGCUUACCAAGGCGACGAUCCGUAGCUGGUCUGAGAGGAUGAUCAGCCACACUGGGACUGAGACACGGCCCAGACUCCUACGGGAGGCAGCAGUGGGGAAUUUUCCGCAAUGGGCGAAAGCCUGACGGAGCAACGCCGCGUGCGGGAGGACGGCCUGUGGGUUGUAAACCGCUUUUCUCAGGGAAGAAGAUCUGACGGUACCUGAGGAAUCAGCAUCAGCUAACUCCGUGCCAGCAGCCGCGGUAAUACGGAGGAUGCAAGCGUUAUCCGGAUUUAUUGGGCGUAAAGCGUCCGCAGGCGGCUAAUCAAGUCUGCUGUUAAAGGCCGAGGCUUAACUUCGGUUGAGCAGUGGAAACUGAUUAGCUAGAGUGCGAUAGGGGUAGAGGGAAUUCCCAGUGUAGCGGUGAAAUGCGUAGAUAUUGGGAAGAACACCAGUGGCGAAGGCGCUCUACUGGGUCGCAACUGACGCUGAGGGACGAAAGCUAGGGGAGCGAAAGGGAUUAGAUACCCC
This 663-nucleotide ribosomal RNA is filed under the name uncultured bacterium. Its description in RNAcentral is "bacterial SSU rRNA". It matches the Rfam family "Bacterial small subunit ribosomal RNA", at positions 94 to 788 of the family's 1533-position model. The record is from RNAcentral.